CAUUUUUCUCUUUGUUUGUAGGCCUGACCGUUUGUCCUUGAGCCGUAGAUGGUGAACAAUCCGCUAGCUGUCUUGCUCUGACUGGUGCACUGGACAUGAUUUCAAUAGUCAGCCAGACCAUGAUUGAGCUUAAGGAUUGUGCUGCGGAUGCAGCCUGUGCAGUUCCGGGAGAAAGUCACUGUCUUGGGCAAUGCGGUCUGGUAUCAGGUCUGGAUGAUCCUUGCCUGACUGCGGGUUUGUGUACACCUCAAUCCGACUCUGUGUCCUGAACAGAGGCCGCAGUGAUGCAGCGCUUGUGAACGAUCCAUCAACAUCCUAAAAAGGUCAACACUACACCAAGCUGGGAAAAUUGAUCCUGAUAGUCAUCCCCAGGUAGUGGAAUGAAUGUUCACUGAACUACAGAGGAAUCACACCCAAAUGACUUUCCUGCCACGACAUUAGUGUGGCCACUCGCGUAGGAAUUCCUUAGCAAACAUGCUCUUUUGCAUGGUGACUGUGGGCAUUUUUGCAAAACUUACGCUUUCAACACUGGAUUUUAAAGAGAAUACUUAAUAAAAUGUCGCUAACAGGACUUAUUUAUAUGAGAGAGACUAUCUGGAUGCGCAUUAAGUGUCACUUUGUGUCGUAAGCUGUUGAAGGAGCGAUUUGCGCCUUUUUAAGUGUUAAUUUUGGGUAGCCGGCUUGUAUCGGCUUGAAAGCUGCAAAUUAUGCCUCUCAUCAUAAUAGCAUUAAUUUUUGUAAUUGCAAUGUGUAUGUUUAGAUUGUAAGUGAAGCUUUUAAUAAUAAUUUUCUUAAAAAACAUGA
This is a long non-coding RNA of Dreissena polymorpha, 804 nucleotides long. RefSeq lists it as uncharacterized. Lineage: Eukaryota; Metazoa; Mollusca; Bivalvia; Myida; Dreissenidae. The transcript is spliced from 3 exons. The record is from RefSeq and is a predicted model, not a curated record.